RNAcentral lists this transfer RNA (73 nucleotides) under Camelus bactrianus (Bactrian camel). It matches the Rfam family "tRNA". Rfam says of the family: Transfer RNA (tRNA) molecules are approximately 80 nucleotides in length. Their secondary structure includes four short double-helical elements and three loops (D, anti-codon, and T loops). RNAcentral also lists the same sequence under 2 other names. Lineage: Eukaryota; Metazoa; Chordata; Mammalia; Artiodactyla; Camelidae. The record is from Rfam by way of RNAcentral.
GAGGAUAUAGCUCAAAUGGUAGAGGGCUUGCUUAGAAUGCAUGAGGUCCUGGGUUCAAUCCCCAGUACCUCCA